Molecule: ribosomal RNA, 916 nt
Filed under: uncultured archaeon
Lineage: Archaea
Description: bacterial SSU rRNA
Rfam family: Archaeal small subunit ribosomal RNA
Source: RNAcentral
AUUUUCCGGUUGAUCCUGCCGGACCCGACUGCUAUCGGAUUGAGACUAAGCCAUGCGAGUCAACCCGCAAGGGUGGCGGACGGCUCAGUAACACGUAGUCAACCUGCCCUGAGGACGUGGAUAUCCACGGGAAACUGUGGUUAAACCGCGAUAGGUCAUCGCUUCUGGAACGGGCGAUGGCUCAAAUCUACAUGGCCUCAGGAUGGGACUGCGGCCGAUCAGGUUGUUGGCGGGGUAAUGGCCCACCAAGCCUAUAACCGGUACGGGCUCUGAGAGGAGGAGCCCGGAGAUGGGCACUGAGACAAGGGCCCAGGUCCUAUGGGGCGCAGCAGGCGCGAAACCUUCGCAAUAGGCGAAAGCCUGACGAGGUUAAUCCGAGUGGUUCCUGCUAAAGGAACCUUUUGCCAGCUGUAAAAAGGCUGGUGAAUAAGGGGUGGGCAAGCCUGGUGUCAGCCGCCGCGGUAAUACCAGCACCCCGAGUGGUCGGGAUGAUUAUUGGGCCUAAAGCAUCCGUAGCCGGUUCUGCAAGUCUCCCGUUAAAUCCACCUGCUCAACAGUUGGGCUGCGGGAGAUACUGUAGGACUAGGAGGCGGGAGAGGCGAGGGGUAUUCCUUGGGUAGGGGUAAAAUCCUUUGAUCCAUGGAGGACCACCAGUGGCGAAGGCGCCUCGCCAGAACGCGCUCGACGGUGAGGGAUGAAAGCUGGGGGAGCAAACCGGAUUAGAUACCCGGGUAGUCCCAGCUGUAAACGAUGCAGGCUCGGUGAUGGACUGGCCUCGAGCCAGUCCAGUGCCGCAGGGAAGCCGUUAAGCCUGCCGCCUGGGGAGUACGGUCGCAAGACUGAAACUUAAAGGAAUUGGCGGGGGAGCACCACAAGGGGUGAAGCCUGCGGUUCAAUUGGAGUCAACGCCGGAAAU